Molecule: ribosomal RNA, 1080 nt
Filed under: uncultured Halomonas sp.
Lineage: Bacteria; Pseudomonadati; Pseudomonadota; Gammaproteobacteria; Oceanospirillales; Halomonadaceae
Description: bacterial SSU rRNA
Rfam family: Bacterial small subunit ribosomal RNA
Source: RNAcentral
AUUGAACGCUGGCGGCAGGCCUAACACAUGCAAGUCGAGCGGAAACGAUCCUAGCUUGCUAGGAGGCGUCGAGCGGCGGACGGGUGAGUAAUGCAUAGGAAUCUGCCCGGUAGUGGGGGAUAACUUGAGGAAACUCAAGCUAAUACCGCAUACGCCCCAAGGGGGAAAGCAGGGGAUCUUCGGACCUUGCGCUAUCGGAUGAGCCUAUGUCGGAUUAGCUAGUUGGUGAGGUAAUGGCUCACCAAGGCCGCGAUCCGUAGCUGGUCUGAGAGGAUGAUCAGCCACAUCGGGACUGAGACACGGCCCGAACUCCUACGGGAGGCAGCAGUGGGGAAUAUUGGACAAUGGGCGAAAGCCUGAUCCAGCCAUGCCGCGUGUGUGAAGAAGGCCUUCGGGUUGUAAAGCACUUUCAGCGAGGAAGAACGCUUGUGGGUUAAUACCCUGCAAGAAGGACAUCACUCGCAGAAGAAGCACCGGCUAACUCCGUGCCAGCAGCCGCGGUAAUACGGAGGGUGCAAGCGUUAAUCGGAAUUACUGGGCGUAAAGCGCGCGUAGGCGGCUUGAUAAGCCGGUUGUGAAAGCCCCGGGCUCAACCUGGGAACGGCAUCCGGAACUGUCAGGCUAGAGUGCAGGAGAGGAAGGUAGAAUUCCCGGUGUAGCGGUGAAAUGCGUAGAGAUCGGGAGGAAUACCAGUGGCGAAGGCGGCCUUCUGGACUGACACUGACGCUGAGGUGCGAAAGCGUGGGUAGCAAACAGGAUUAGAUACCCUGGUAGUCCACGCCGUAAACGAUGUCGACUAGCCGUUGGGGUCCUCGAGACCUUUGUGGCGCAGUUAACGCGAUAAGUCGACCGCCUGGGGAGUACGGCCGCAAGGUUAAAACUCAAAUGAAUUGACGGGGGCCCGCACAAGCGGUGGAGCAUGUGGUUUAAUUCGAUGCAACGCGAAGAACCUUACCUACUCUUGACAUCGAGCGAACCAUCCAGAGAUGGAUGGGUGCCUUCGGGAACGCUCAGACAGGUGCUGCAUGGCCGUCGUCAGCUCGUGUUGUGAAAUGUUGGGUUAAGUCCCGUAACGAGCGC